Long non-coding RNA from Oncorhynchus tshawytscha (Chinook salmon), 371 nucleotides. Lineage: Eukaryota; Metazoa; Chordata; Actinopteri; Salmoniformes; Salmonidae. The record is from Ensembl.
AGUAACUGAAAGGUCGAUGGUUUGACUUUAGGGUGGUAGGUAGUCUAGUGUUGGGCCAGUAACUGAAAGGUCGAUGGUUUGACUUUAGGGUGGUAGGUAGUCUAGUGUUGGGCCAGUAACUGAAAGGUCGAUGGUUUGACUUUAGGGUGGUAGGUAGUCUAGUGUUGGGCCAGUAACUGAAAGGUCGAUGGUUUGACUUUAGGGUGGUAGGUAGUCUAGUGUUGGGCCAGUAACUGAAAGGUCGAUGGUUUGACUUUAGGGUGGUAGGUAGUCUAGUGUUGGGCCAGUAACUGAAAGGUCGAUGGUUUGACUUUAGGGUGGUAGGUAGUCUAGUGUUGGGCCAGUAACUGAAAGGCCGAUGGUUUGACUUU